GACGAACGCUGGCGGCGUGCUUAACACAUGCAAGUCGAACGCUGAACCCGCUUCGGUGGGGGAUGAGUGGCGAACGGGUGAGUAACACGUGGGCAACCUGCCCCCGGCUCUGGGAUAACUCCAAGAAAUUGGGGCUAAUACCGGAUGUGACCGCUGGCCGCAUGGUCUGGUGGUGGAAAGGGUUUCCGGCUGGGGAUGGGCCCGCGGCCUAUCAGCUUGUUGGUGGGGUAGUGGCCUACCAAGGCGACGACGGGUAGCCGGCCUGAGAGGGUGACCGGCCGCACUGGGACUGAGACACGGCCCAGACUCCUACGGGAGGCAGCAGUGGGGAAUAUUGCGCAAUGGGCGGAAGCCUGACGCAGCGACGCCGCGUGGGGGAUGACGGCCUUCGGGUUGUAAACCUCUUUCAGCAGGGACGAAGCGCAAGUGACGGUACCUGCAGAAGAAGCACCGGCCAACUACGUG
This 465-nucleotide ribosomal RNA is filed under the name uncultured bacterium. RNAcentral describes it as "partial 16S ribosomal RNA". It matches the Rfam family "Bacterial small subunit ribosomal RNA", at positions 28 to 507 of the family's 1533-position model. The record is from RNAcentral.